RNAcentral lists this ribosomal RNA (412 nucleotides) under uncultured Acidobacteriota bacterium. RNAcentral describes it as "bacterial SSU rRNA". It matches the Rfam family "Bacterial small subunit ribosomal RNA", at positions 80 to 524 of the family's 1533-position model. The record is from RNAcentral. Lineage: Bacteria; Pseudomonadati; Acidobacteriota.
CAAUCCAUGAGUACAGUGGCGACCGGGUGAGUAACACGUGACUAACCUACCUUCGAGUGGGGGAUAACCUCGGGAAACCGAGGCUAAUACCGCAUAACAUCGAGAGAUCAAAGGAGCAAUUCGCUUGAAGAGGGGGUCGCGGCUGAUUAGCUAGUUGGCGGGGUAAUGGCCCACCAAGGCGAAGAUCGGUAGCCGGCCUGAGAGGGCGCACGGCCACACUGGAACUGAAACACGGUCCAGACUCCUACGGGAGGCAGCAGUGGGGAAUUUUGCGCAAUGGGGGAAACCCUGACGCAGCAACGCCGCGUGGAGGAUGAAGCCCCUUGGGGUGUAAACUCCUUUCGACCAAGACGAUAAUGACGGUACUGGUGGAAGAAGCACCGGCUAACUCUGUGCCAGCAGCCGCGGUAAU